RNAcentral lists this small RNA (783 nucleotides) under Pan troglodytes (chimpanzee). Its description in RNAcentral is "retained intron". Lineage: Eukaryota; Metazoa; Chordata; Mammalia; Primates; Hominidae. The record is from RNAcentral.
UGGUGAGCCGAGAUCACGCUAUUGCACUCCAGCCUUGGCAAAAAGAGCGAAACUCCGUCCCAAAAAAAAAAAAAAAAAACAAAGCUGCAGCUCAGAGAAGUGGAGACACUGGCCCAGGGACCCACAGCAAGGCCUUAGCCCAGCUGGGGCUAGAUGGCAAGAGGUGGUUCAGCAUUGGAGCUCCAUUGCCUGGGUUCAAAUCGGGGUCUGUCACUGGCCAGCUGUGAGCCUAAGUCUCUGAAUUUCUCUGUGCCUUAGUGUCCUCAUUCUGUAGAGUGGAGAUAGUAAUCAUUCCUAUUUCAAAGAUUGUUGUGAGAAAUAAGUGAACUAAUACAUGUCAUAUGCUUAAAAGCAGGGCCCAGGACACAGUGAGCAUACAAUAGACAUUAGCUGCUGUGGUGUCUUGAUUUCAAGCCCAGUGCAGUUGCAUCUGACUUACGAAACUUCAGUGACACCUGCUCUGUGCCAGACACUGAAGAUGGAGCAGUGAACAGCACUGACCCAGCCUGUCCUCCUGUUGCCUGCAGGCCAGAAGCAAGGUCUCGCUGUGUUACCCGGGCUGGAGUGCAGUGGCUACUUACAGGCAUGAUCAUAGCAUACUGCAGCCUCGAACUCCUGGACUAAAGCAGUUCUCCUGCCUCAGCCUCCAGAGCAGCUGGGACUGCAGACACGCACCACAGAGCCCAGCCUGAGUCAUUUUGAUUCUGUAACUGGCUUCCUCUCGGCGGGCAGGCUCACACCCUCCACCCCCAGCUGGAGAUGGAAGGAGGAUGCUCACCAUCC